This 522-nucleotide ribosomal RNA is filed under the name uncultured Cupriavidus sp. RNAcentral describes it as "bacterial SSU rRNA". It matches the Rfam family "Bacterial small subunit ribosomal RNA", at positions 8 to 525 of the family's 1533-position model. Lineage: Bacteria; Pseudomonadati; Pseudomonadota; Betaproteobacteria; Burkholderiales; Burkholderiaceae. The record is from RNAcentral.
AGAGUUUGAUCCUGGCUCAGAUUGAACGCUGGCGGCAUGCCUUACACAUGCAAGUCGAACGGCAGCGCGGACUUCGGUCUGGCGGCGAGUGGCGAACGGGUGAGUAAUACAUCGGAACGUACCCUGUUGUGGGGGAUAACUAGUCGAAAGAUUAGCUAAUACCGCAUACGACCUGAGGGUGAAAGUGGGGGACCGCAAGGCCUCACGCAGCAGGAGCGGCCGAUGUCUGAUUAGCUAGUUGGUGGGGUAAAGGCCCACCAAGGCGACGAUCAGUAGCUGGUCUGAGAGGACGAUCAGCCACACUGGGACUGAGACACGGCCCAGACUCCUACGGGAGGCAGCAGUGGGGAAUUUUGGACAAUGGGGGCAACCCUGAUCCAGCAAUGCCGCGUGUGUGAAGAAGGCCUUCGGGUUGUAAAGCACUUUUGUCCGGAAAGAAAUCGCGCUGGUUAAUACCUGGCGUGGAUGACGGUACCGGAAGAAUAAGCACCGGCUAACUACGUGCCAGCAGCCGCGGUAAUA